GAGCAGAACCAACCGCACCGUUGUCUGGUUCCACACACAUUUGGUACCAAAAUGACAAGUUAGACACGGUCACGGUUCAAACUAAAACGACAAGCAAACCACGGUCACCGUCCGAACUAAAAUGACAAGCUGCGCACACCACAUACCCGCUGAGCGCAAACGUAAUCCACCUCGUUCCUAUCCUCUCCCUCUCCUCAUAUCGUCUCCCCCACUCUCUCGUUUUCAACUCAUCCCCCACAGCCCCACUUCUACACCGCGCGCCGCCCACCCAGCUCCAUCCACGGCGCAGCUGCUCAGCCCCGCUGCCUCCACGGCCUGGCGGCCCGACGCCCCUGCCACACUCCUUCCAUGGAGCGACGGCCCUGCUCCAUAUCCACCGCGCGCGACCCAUCAAAUCCACCGCCGGCGUCCCUAGUCCCACUGCUCAAGCACCGCAAGGCCAGGAGACCACCAAGCCCGCAGCCUCCGUGGUUUGGGAGACCACUGCGCAUGGACGGUGAUGAAGAGCUCCGUGGCCAUGGUCCACCACAACCCACCCGCUGCCAGAGAUCGCGUCCACUCACCGCUCACCAUGCCGCUGGCCACUCGGUGCAGCCCCUGUCCGCCUACCCCUCCACAGUUCAGCGGCCCUUCUUCCCGUUCGGCGCCACCUGAGCUACAUCGCUCGGCCCCGAUGGUGGAUUCUGUGGGAGAGGCUAACUGGAGCAGCUCAUAGGGCAGAAGAAGGCAGGGUCGAGGUCGCUUAUUUUGUUGUUUUCUUUUGAUCUGAAUUUUGGUAAACUCCUUUUUUCGAUCUGGAUACCGCUGUUCUCCCGAUUCAGAUCCUUGUUGUUGUUUUUCGAUCUGAAAUUUUGGAUACCGCUGAUAUCCCAUGGUCAUGCAGAGAAAGGGCAAUUUUUUUAACUAGAUUUGAUGUGUUGAUUUUUUUACAUGGUGCGUACCCGACAGAGAUCAAAUCAUCCUGCAGUAUUGAUUUUUCCGUGUUAAUUUUUUUUGUACAUGGUGUGUGCCGGAUUCAGAUCACAUGUGUUCAUGAUUUGUGUGGAGUUUUUCAUACUCCGGAUCCUUGGAAAUUUUGAUCAUCAAUUUUUUUACUGCAUUUUGUUCAUGCUUGGUGUCGGUGAUGGUUGUACUUGCUAUUCUGAAACUUGUGCAGCCGGUUGGAUCUUGCCCGCAACCAUGGCUGCUUCCCCUGGCAACGAGCCAGGCAUCCCCAGAUCUGGCGCCGCUCCAACACUAGCUCAGCUGGUCUAGUCGCCGCGAACGAGGUCAUACACCCGGGGAUUCACUGCCCAGCAUUCUCCCGGAGAUUGUACUUGUACAUGAAGCUCAAGAUCCAUGUCCUCCAACGUAUCAUGUUUCUGUGAAGGAACAACUUUGGAGAAUCAGAUUGGUUUUAUUGCUUCCGUGAAUGAUUCUUGAGCUCAACUGAUUUGAUAUAUUAGUUAGUUGUGUAUGAUGAAUUUUUCAGCUCGUUUAAUUUGAUGCCAUUCUAAUUGAUCUUUCUGGUCCCCCAUCGUCAUCCUAGCAAUCGCAGACGGAGACCCCUGCGGAGGUCUGCCACCUCCUUCCCGUGAUUCCCGUCGGCUCAAGCGCGACCCACCUCUCCACUUCUUCCCUGCACCCGGUGGGAUUUUGAGCUGUGUGGCGGUGGCACCCGGUGGGAGGAGCCGGGUUAGAGCUCUGCGCUUGGGAGGCCGAUAAGGGGCGGCUCGCGGACGCCCCGCGUGCAAGUGGACGCGCGGGAUGCCACCGCCUUCAGGGAUGCAGGUUGAAGGAACGCCGGAGGCCCGGAGAAGAAGGCUGCCGGGGAGGGAGGCGCUAGGAGUCACGGACGGGCGACUAGUGGGCGAGCAGGCUGUCGGGGCAUGGGGAUGCAGCCGGGCGCGCGACGGCUGGGCACGGCGGCGAGCGAGCUAGGCCGGCCUAGCCCGUGGGCAUUUCCUCACGAAAUAUGGCCCCGCGCUCUGCCUCACCGGUGGCGGUGGAUUCGUUGGGGCGGCGACUUGGAGAAGCUCGGGACGGACGGGCGCACGGUCGCUGGCGAUGCCCAAGCCAUCCCUGCGCUGGCCCAUGUUCCUCUACCUCCGUGAGGCUGCAAAUCUCUGUCGGCCGUGGUGGCCGGGGCCGUCGGCAAGGAAGAUGCGGGCGAGCGGUGGGGAUACGAGUCAGAGGAGGAUGGUCCGCCGUCAACCGCGCGUCGAGGACGAGCAGGAGUAACCGCCAGCGACUCAAACCGGGCACGGGUGCUCUUUUUUUUGAACUGGGGCAUGCUCUUAGUUGCACUUUUGUUUUGGCCAUAGGGACGGAACUUUUUUUGCUGAAAGAAUGCGGUCACGGUUUCUUUAUUACUUUUACCAUCUUCAUUUGCUGAAA
Long non-coding RNA from Lolium perenne, 2376 nucleotides. RefSeq lists it as uncharacterized. NCBI's taxonomy places the organism in Eukaryota, Viridiplantae, Streptophyta, Magnoliopsida, Poales, Poaceae. The record is from RefSeq and is a predicted model, not a curated record.